This is a non-coding RNA of Erinaceus europaeus (western European hedgehog), 92 nucleotides long. The record is from Rfam. Lineage: Eukaryota; Metazoa; Chordata; Mammalia; Eulipotyphla; Erinaceidae.
CCUUCACACUUAGAUACAAAAGACAGUUCAUACCUUGUCGCCUUUGGAGGACUUUCUGUGCCCUUCAGAGUGAAUUUAGAGGUUCUACACAC